UGCCAGCCGCCGCGGUAAUACGGAGAGUGCGAGCGUUGUUCGGAAUCAUUGGGCGUAAAGGGCGUCUAGGUGGCCCGCUAAGUCAGGUGUGAAAGCCCUCGGCUCAACCGAGGAAGUGCACUUGAAACUGGUGAGCUUGAGUACUGGAGGGGGCAGCGGAAUUCUCGGUGUAGAGGUGAAAUUCGUAGAUAUCGGGAGGAACACCAGUGGCGAAGGCGGCUGCCUGGCCAGAUACUGACACUGAAGCGCGAAAGCGUGGGGAGCAAACAGGAUUAGAUA
Molecule: ribosomal RNA, 279 nt
Filed under: uncultured bacterium
Lineage: Bacteria
Description: partial 16S ribosomal RNA
Rfam family: Bacterial small subunit ribosomal RNA
Source: RNAcentral